Molecule: ribosomal RNA, 408 nt
Filed under: Triticum aestivum (bread wheat)
Lineage: Eukaryota; Viridiplantae; Streptophyta; Magnoliopsida; Poales; Poaceae
Description: partial small subunit ribosomal RNA
Source: RNAcentral
AUGGCUAAAUCAGUGAACCUGAAAGUUGGUUGGAGUGAAAAAGGGGCAUCCGGCGAGGACGCUACCCACCCGAAGCCAGCCAACGGGGGACCUAUAUGCCAUGCGGCGGCGGCGCCGCCGCCGGAGACGCACACAUCACAUGUGCCUCGAACAAAGUUACCGGGAAACCAGACUAGCAACGUGAGCCUUUUGAGUUGGAACUGCAGAGGAGGAGGGAAUUCUCGGACUGCUCGUGAUCUUGUGAGCUUGGUGCAGACUCAUUCCCCCAGUAUUGUUUUCCUGUGUGAAACUAGGCAGUCCAAGGAUAGAAUGAAAAGAUAUAUGCCUCGUCUAGGGUUAAGAGGCUUUGAUGCAGUCGAUACUGUUGGUUUGAGUGGAGGUCUUGCUCUCUAUUGGCAUGAGUCAUUG